Triticum aestivum (bread wheat) is the source of this 4235-nucleotide long non-coding RNA. RefSeq lists it as uncharacterized. The record is from RefSeq and is a predicted model, not a curated record. The transcript has 4 exons. NCBI's taxonomy places the organism in Eukaryota, Viridiplantae, Streptophyta, Magnoliopsida, Poales, Poaceae.
CUAUCGCAGGUAGAGUACUCUCGCAGGCAACACCUUCCCACGAUACGUAGGAAAAAAUUCAGGAUAAAGUAUAUAGCGAUCGAAAUAACCGUGACCUAACCAGGGUCUCCUCGUGAGUCGGGACCCUCCUCUCGCCGCCGCCACCUCCUCCCCUUCCUCGUCUCCUGCCGCCGCCACCUCCUCUCCUUCCUCGUCUCCUUCCACGCCCCUCCUCUGGCUUUCGAUCUCCGCCACCGGGCCUCCUCCUCUCUCCCACGGGCCUUGGGUGUGGCUCCGCGCGAGGCGCUACAGAUGAGAGGCGCGGCGGGCAGCCUUCGGGGAGCACCUGCCGUCGAGCAUGCGUAGACGCUUAUCAUCGUCGGCGGGCCACGAGCUUCUCCGGCACCGCCGCCGCGGUCGCGCUACCUCCAUCGUCUAAGCGAGUAUUGGAGGGAGGGCAUGGGCGUGAUUCCGGCGAGAUGUGGCUCGGAUAGAUGUCUGCGAUGCGGCAAUCAGAAAUCCUUUGGUUUGUCUUCCUCCUGAUUUGGCUUAAACCAUCCAGUAACAGGCCCACAAGUUCUGAGGCGUGAAGUUAAUGAUGCUGAAUUAGCUAACAAGAGAUGAGUUUGUGCACAUGUAUCUUCAGAAGUUUGAGUCAGUAGUAACUUAGUGUGGUGUAUUGCGACCUCAGACGCGACUCUUGUGGAUGUGGAUAUCACCUGAAGACUUGACUCGUAGAAAUCAUCUAAUAUGCCAACUAUGGCUUGGUGUUUCAUCUAUCUAAUAUGUAAAUUGUCAGCAUGAACUCUGAAAUACUUGGGUUAAUUCGGCAGUUUAAACUUUCUCAAUUGAUUAGAAUCCACCUCCCAUUUGACUUGGUGUGGACGUCAAAUUUCAGUUUGAGCCUUAAUCAGUAUCUGUUGUGGCAGUGGUGUGGUGUUCCCGAUUUCUGGGCCAGUGUAAUGAUUAUUGAAAUUAUAUUCCUGCAGUUACCUUCUCAGGAACUAGGCUUUGUCGCCUGUCAUGCUUCAAAGGCGUCAAGUGACAGUUAACAUAUGACAAUGUUAGUGCAAUAUGUCUAAAAUAAGUUAUAAUAUGAUAUUUACUUAUCUCUUCACCCUGCUAUGUUCCUUUCUUUCUUUCCUUUGUGUAAAGGUUUAUUACAUUAUGUAUUUUUUAAUUGUGUUGCCUCUCUCUCUCCAACAAUGAGCUCUUACCGCCAAAACCAGCUGAGUUCAUCAAUUUGCAUUCUUCGUCUGUAGGCCUUGUACAAAUUAAUGUCUACUUGAAAGGCUUUGUACAAAUCAAUGUCUACUUGAAGUCUCUCUCGCUGGUGCAUCUCUGUUUGGAGCACAAUCGAUUGGAAUGAGGAGCCAUAUAUGACAAUUUCAAGUUGUAUAUGGAGAACAAUCAAUUAGAAACCAUAUAUGAAGCCGUAUACUCCAUCAACUGUAUACCGCAAUGAGAAGCUGCUUAGAUGGGCUUAUACUUAAUUUGUAUGCAGCAUUUCACUUGCCACUGUAGUCGCUCUCUUGUUACUAGCAACCUUGGUCGCAUUGUAUUUCUUUUGUCCAUGUGCAUUUAACCAGUUGUCUUGGUCUACUGUGAAACCAACCUUUUAUUUAGUUUGUGCUUAUGGAUUGUGGAAGACUGUUAUGUUUGAUGUUUUUCUAUUGAAUUUCUUCAUCUUAGUACACCCAUGAGGUCCCCUGAUAACAAUUUUGUCCAAGAGUCUUUCGUUAUUGCAAUUUCUGAUGAGCAUAUAAGACAUUGUGCUGUUGUUGGUAGCGCAAGAAGGUGGUAUGACAUCGAUGGUUUAUGCAAUUGACAGAUGAUUUUGGUAGAGUUAGUGCCAUUUUUGUUUCAUGCUCGUGCAUUGGAUGCUUGUAGCUUUCCUUUUGUUGUCAAGAUAUGUCAUUGUAUAUUUUUCCUGAUUGUCGAAAAUGGCUUCCUGUGCAGUUUAGUGGUGCGUGGAUUAAGAUUUCAGCCAUGGGUGACUUUGACUUCAUAGCUAGGGCAUAUGUGAAAGUCACAGGAAAGUGGGAUCGCUUGGACAUCACAAGCAAUUUGUGAUGCUGAGGAUCUUGUAGAGAAUUUCAGCUGGCUGCGUCGCUGUGAUUGUGGAUAACUUUUUCCGGAUGGAAAGGAAAGUGAAUUCCAAUAUUAUCAAAGCAAAAUUGGUGAAGUUGGAUGAGGAUUGGAGUUGGCGUGUAACCUACUUACUCACAUAUGGCAUGCUCAUGAUUUUUCAGGGUACAAAUAUAGUGAAGUUCUAUUACAUAUAUGCAUGUGAUAUUCACUAUACUUUUUCUCAUUGCCCAUUACUUCACAUGCAAUAUAACCUAUUAUGCAGCAACCAAGGUGAUAUGCAGGGCCAAGGUGAUAAAAGAACUUCUCAGUUCACAAAUGAAAGUGAGUUUUGACUUCUGAUGACAUUACACUGAUCAUAUUCUGGUGAGAUGUUGAUGACAGGAAGAAUUAUUAUUGUUGUUCAAGGUAGCUGCAACUAUGCACAUGAUGCAAGAAUUAUAUUUCUGUAGAGGUAGCUGCAACUAUGCACGUCAGUUUGAUCCUCCUAACUAAAAAUAAAAUUUAAUCUUCUUGGCAGAUUCACUUUUCUAUAAACUAAUUUCCGGUGUAGUUUGAAAAAAAAAGCAAAAGACUCGGAUACGAUCAUAGGACUACAACAUGAAGUUUGAGGAGUGUCCCAUAUCCCAUCAUCAUUCUCUCAGUUUUUACGACAUGAUUCUCCAUGAUGAUCUUAGAUAUACCUAGGAAGAUCAAAUUACAGAAAAAAAAACCUUGGAAUGGUUCUUUUGAUUUACCUUCGGUUCUUAUUAACGAUAUAGUUAUCUAUAUUAUCAUUUCGAAGUGGUGUUCCUGGAACAUUAAAUUGAUUAUAAAUACACUAGAUAUUAAUUUUGUGCAUAUCCAUGUCCCACCCACAACGCAAAGCAAGACUGCACAUAUACGUUAACGAUUGUGCCAGCAAGAUUAGUACGCACAAUCACGCACACAGAGGAGGCGCACACAAUAAGAGUCGGGAAGGGGUGGCCACUUGCCUAUGCCACUCGCCAAUGAUAUAUUUUGGAUCUUGCUGCUUGAUUUUGGCAUCUAUAUGUUGCAGACCACGUAUUACAGGUACUAUUUCAAUCUCUUGGUUAUUUCAGAUUGCACAUAUAAACCGGGUGAUGGAAGAUGUACUGUACUAAGCGGUUGAAUUGUGGUUGUCGAAGCCUUUAUUAGAAUGCUAAAAGCUUCAGACCUUUGCUUUUCUUCCGGAGUUUCGCGGAACUGAACUUCUGUAAAGUUCAUCAACCAGAUCCUACUCUUAGAUAUUUUGUUUAAGUAAAAUUUGCUUGAAGUGAUUAAGGAUAUCGGGCCUCUAAAAGAAAAGUAAGAAUCUAAAUUCCUAAGUAAUUAUAACAACUCAAGUGUGAUCUUCUUGUUGCUUAAUUUUCCAGUUAAGAUAUCUUUUUGAUAUAGAUUGCAAGGUUUCGUUCUCGCAUAAAACUCCCAAUCCUAUGAUCAUCAUAUGUUUCCUGUAUGAUGUUUUUGCUGGAAGGUCUGAUGUAUAUCUCUUUUCUAAAAAUGUCACUGAUAGUUUGUUUUGCCGAACAUAUUAGGUUAACUGGAUUCCAUCUCAAUUCCUGUAAAUCUCUCUAAAAAGGUCACUGCCAAGGUGGUGUGGAGUGAGGAGAUGUAGAGAUAGAUGAGGACGACGGAAGGAAGCAGUAGCAGCUCGAUCCAGGAACCAACAGCUGGCUCGCUCCUAGGUCUUCAACCCGCUCCCCCCUCCUUUCAGUCUACCGCGUGCAGCAGGUGGGUAUACUCAGCUUCGUUGCUCCCACUCAUCUUCCUCCCUCCCUCUCUAUCUUAUACAGGUUCCAUCUAAUGGCAGCACUCUCUCCCUUUUCCAUCUCUAUUUAGUAGAUGGUGGAGCAACCAAGCAUACGUACACAUUGAAAUUGAUUCUAUUGAGCUUAUUCACAGUUAUCCAUCAAGGAAUGGUUGUAAUAAAUAUUUUAUAUCUCUACAUCCAAGAGAUCAAGAGAUCCUAAUGUUAUAGCAUACGUCCAUAUUGAUGUACAUGAGCGGGACUAAGAAUUAAACAUGGUAGAGGAAUGUGCCAAGACAAGAUGAGUGCACACAAGCCCGCCUCAGGAGGCGCCCCAGCCUCUAGUUAUGUAUGAUGACGUGCUAUAAACUUGACACUGUGAAUUGUGAUGGGUUAGUAAAUCAUGAGCCACUCAGUU